ACUCCUACGGGAGGCAGCAGUGGGAAUAUUGGACAAUGGGCGAAAGCCUGAUCCAGCCAUGCCGCGUGAGUGAUGAAGGCCCUAGGGUUGUAAAGCUCUUUCACCGGUGAAGAUAAUGACGGUAACCGGAGAAGAAGCCCGCUGACUUCAGUUGCCAGCCAGCCGCCGGGUAAUACGAAGGGGCGUAGCGUUGUUCGGGAAUUACUGGGCGUAAAGCGCACGUAGGCGGACAUUUAAGUCAGGGGUGAAAUCCCGGGGCUCAACCCGCACGUAGCCUUGACUUACUGGGUGUCUUGAGUUCGAGAGAGGUGAGUGGAAUUCCGAGUGUAGAGGUGAAAUUCGUAGAUAUUCGGAGGAACACCAGUGGCGAAGGCGGCUCACUGGCUCGAUACUGACGCUGAGGUGCGAAGCGUGGGGAGCAACAGGAUUAGAUACCCUGGUAGGCUCUGC
This 450-nucleotide ribosomal RNA is filed under the name uncultured bacterium. RNAcentral's name for it is "bacterial SSU rRNA". It matches the Rfam family "Bacterial small subunit ribosomal RNA", at positions 335 to 800 of the family's 1533-position model. The record is from RNAcentral.